Molecule: ribosomal RNA, 484 nt
Filed under: uncultured bacterium
Lineage: Bacteria
Description: partial 16S ribosomal RNA
Rfam family: Bacterial small subunit ribosomal RNA
Source: RNAcentral
AUUGAACGCUGGCGGCAGGCCUAACACAUGCAAGUCGAGCGGAUGAAGGGAGCUUGCUCUUGGAUUCAGCGGCGGACGGGUGAGUAAUGCCUAGGAAUCUGCCUGGUAGUGGGGGAUAACGUCCGGAAACGGGCGCUAAUAUCGCAUACGUCCUGAGGGUGAAAGUGGGGGAUCUUCAGAGCUCACGGUUCUUGAUGAGCCUAGGUCGGAUUAGCUAGUUGGUGGGGUAAAGGCCUACCAAGGCGACGAUCCGUAACUGGUCUGCGAGGAUGAUCAGUCACACUGGAACUGAGACACGGUCCAGACUCCUACGGGAGGCAGCAGUAGGGAAUAUUGGACAAAGGGCGAAAGCCUGAUCCAGCCACGCCGCGUGUGUGAAGAAGGUCUUCGGAUUGUAAAGCACUUUAAGUUGGGAAGAAGAGAAGUAAGUGAAUACCUUGCUGUUUUGACGUUACCAACAGAAAAAGCACCGGCUAACUUCGUG